This 421-nucleotide ribosomal RNA is filed under the name uncultured bacterium. RNAcentral's name for it is "partial 16S ribosomal RNA". It matches the Rfam family "Bacterial small subunit ribosomal RNA", at positions 360 to 773 of the family's 1533-position model. The record is from RNAcentral.
AAUAUGAUACAAUGGGGGCAACCCUGAUCCAGCCAUGCCGCGUGUGUGAAGAAGGUCUUCGGAUCGUCCAGCACUUUAAGUUGGGAGGAAGGGCUUUAGGUUAAUUCCUUGUAGUUUUGACGUUACCAACACAAUAGGCACCGGCUACAUCUAUGCUAUAAGCCGCGGUAAUACAGUGGGUGCAAGCGUUAAUCGGAAUUACUGGGCGUAAAGCGCGCGUAGGUGGUUCAGUAAGAUGGGUGUGAAAUCCCCGGGCUUAACCUGGGAACUGCUUUCAUAACUGCUGAGCUAGAGUACGGUAGAGGGUAGUGGAAUUUCCUGUGUAGCGGUGAAAUGCGUAGAUAUAGGAAGGAACACCAGUGGCGAAGGCGACUACCUGGACUGAUACUGACACUGAGGUGCGAAAGCGUGGGGAGCAAAC